ACGUAUGGAGCAAGCGUUAUCCGGAUUUACUGGGUGUAAAGGGUGCGUAGGUGGCAGUGCAAGUCAGAUGUGAAAGGUCGGGGCUCAACCCCGGAGCUGCAUUUGAAACUGCAUAGCUAGAGUACAGGAGAGGCAGGCGGAAUUCCUAGUGUAGCGGUGAAAUGCGUAGAUAUUAGGAGGAACACCAGUGGCGAAGGCGGCCUGCUGGACUGUUACUGACACUGAGGCACGAAAGCGUGGGGAGCAAACAG
This 251-nucleotide ribosomal RNA is filed under the name uncultured bacterium. RNAcentral's name for it is "partial 16S ribosomal RNA". It matches the Rfam family "Bacterial small subunit ribosomal RNA", at positions 525 to 775 of the family's 1533-position model. The record is from RNAcentral.